This 492-nucleotide ribosomal RNA is filed under the name uncultured bacterium. RNAcentral describes it as "partial 16S ribosomal RNA". It matches the Rfam family "Bacterial small subunit ribosomal RNA", at positions 30 to 507 of the family's 1533-position model. The record is from RNAcentral.
AUUGAACGCUGGCGGCAUGCUUUACACAUGCAAGUCGAACGGUAACAGGCCUUCGGGUGCUUCCGACUGGCGGACGGGGGAGUAAUGCAUCGUAACGUACCCAGCGGUGGGGGAUAACGCAGCGAAAGCUGUGCUAAUACCUCAUCUGAUCUGAUGCUUAAAGCGGUGUUCCGGGCAUCAAUGUUUCGCCUCGCUCCUUUGUAGCCGCCGGUGUCGGUUUAGCUAUUUUGUGGGGUAAGGUCCUACCAACGCGACGAUACGUAGCUGGUCUGAGAGGACGACAAGCCACACUGGGAGUGAGACAAGGCCCGGACUCGUACGGGAGGCAGCAGAGGGGAAAGGUGGACAAUGGGAGGAAGCAUGAUCCAGUAAAGCCGCGUGGGGGAAGAAGGCAUGCGGGUUGUAAAUCGAAUUUGGCAGGAAGGAAACGGUGUAAGCUAAUACCGGGCGCUAAUGACGGUACCUGCAGAAUAAGCACCGGCUAACUACGUG